RNAcentral lists this ribosomal RNA (1562 nucleotides) under Vibrio alginolyticus. Its description in RNAcentral is "bacterial SSU rRNA". It matches the Rfam family "Bacterial small subunit ribosomal RNA". The record is from RNAcentral. Lineage: Bacteria; Pseudomonadati; Pseudomonadota; Gammaproteobacteria; Vibrionales; Vibrionaceae.
AAAUUGAAGAGUUUGAUCAUGGCUCAGAUUGAACGCUGGCGGCAGGCCUAACACAUGCAAGUCGAGCGGAAACGAGUUAUCUGAACCUUCGGGGAACGAUAACGGCGUCGAGCGGCGGACGGGUGAGUAAUGCCUAGGAAAUUGCCCUGAUGUGGGGGAUAACCAUUGGAAACGAUGGCUAAUACCGCAUAAUGCCUACGGGCCAAAGAGGGGGACCUUCGGGCCUCUCGCGUCAGGAUAUGCCUAGGUGGGAUUAGCUAGUUGGUGAGGUAAGGGCUCACCAAGGCGACGAUCCCUAGCUGGUCUGAGAGGAUGAUCAGCCACACUGGAACUGAGACACGGUCCAGACUCCUACGGGAGGCAGCAGUGGGGAAUAUUGCACAAUGGGCGCAAGCCUGAUGCAGCCAUGCCGCGUGUGUGAAGAAGGCCUUCGGGUUGUAAAGCACUUUCAGUCGUGAGGAAGGUAGUGUAGUUAAUAGCUGCAUUAUUUGACGUUAGCGACAGAAGAAGCACCGGCUAACUCCGUGCCAGCAGCCGCGGUAAUACGGAGGGUGCGAGCGUUAAUCGGAAUUACUGGGCGUAAAGCGCAUGCAGGUGGUUUGUUAAGUCAGAUGUGAAAGCCCGGGGCUCAACCUCGGAAUAGCAUUUGAAACUGGCAGACUAGAGUACUGUAGAGGGGGGUAGAAUUUCAGGUGUAGCGGUGAAAUGCGUAGAGAUCUGAAGGAAUACCGGUGGCGAAGGCGGCCCCCUGGACAGAUACUGACACUCAGAUGCGAAAGCGUGGGGAGCAAACAGGAUUAGAUACCCUGGUAGUCCACGCCGUAAACGAUGUCUACUUGGAGGUUGUGGCCUUGAGCCGUGGCUUUCGGAGCUAACGCGUUAAGUAGACCGCCUGGGGAGUACGGUCGCAAGAUUAAAACUCAAAUGAAUUGACGGGGGCCCGCACAAGCGGUGGAGCAUGUGGUUUAAUUCGAUGCAACGCGAAGAACCUUACCUACUCUUGACAUCCAGAGAACUUUCCAGAGAUGGAUUGGUGCCUUCGGGAACUCUGAGACAGGUGCUGCAUGGCUGUCGUCAGCUCGUGUUGUGAAAUGUUGGGUUAAGUCCCGCAACGAGCGCAACCCUUAUCCUUGUUUGCCAGCGAGUAAUGUCGGGAACUCCAGGGAGACUGCCGGUGAUAAACCGGAGGAAGGUGGGGACGACGUCAAGUCAUCAUGGCCCUUACGAGUAGGGCUACACACGUGCUACAAUGGCGCAUACAGAGGGCGGCCAACUUGCGAAAGUGAGCGAAUCCCAAAAAGUGCGUCGUAGUCCGGAUUGGAGUCUGCAACUCGACUCCAUGAAGUCGGAAUCGCUAGUAAUCGUGGAUCAGAAUGCCACGGUGAAUACGUUCCCGGGCCUUGUACACACCGCCCGUCACACCAUGGGAGUGGGCUGCAAAAGAAGUAGGUAGUUUAACCUUCGGGGGGACGCUUACCACUUUGUGGUUCAUGACUGGGGUGAAGUCGUAACAAGGUAGCGCUAGGGGAACCUGGCGCUGGAUCACCUCCUUAAACGAUGAU